GUCUAUAGCCAUGUGACCCUAACGUGUCUGAUCUCGUCUGAUCUCGGAAGCUAAGCAGGGUCGGGCCUAGUUAGUACUUGGAUGGGAGACCAUCUAGGAAUACUAGGUGCUGUAGGUG
This 118-nucleotide ribosomal RNA is filed under the name Pteropus alecto (black flying fox). The record is from RNAcentral. Lineage: Eukaryota; Metazoa; Chordata; Mammalia; Chiroptera; Pteropodidae.